Molecule: long non-coding RNA, 83 nt
Filed under: Ficedula albicollis (Collared flycatcher)
Lineage: Eukaryota; Metazoa; Chordata; Aves; Passeriformes; Muscicapidae
Description: lncRNA (ENSFALG00000027750.1)
Source: RNAcentral
UUGCUGUACACUUUCUCUGGCUCCCCAGGCUCUGCAGCACCCUUUGAUCACCCUCUAGCCUCUGCAAGCAAGCUCCUCCAGCA